UACGUAGGUGGCAAGCGUUGUCCGGAUUUAUUGGGUUUAAAGGGUGCGUAGGCGGGCCUGUAAGUCAGUGGUGAAAUACUCCAGCUUAACUGGAGGGGUGCCAUUGAUACUGCAGGGCUUGAGUGGAGUCGAAGUAGGCGGAAUUGACGGUGUAGCGGUGAAAUGCUUAGAUAUCGUCAAGAACACCGAUAGUGAAGACAGUUUACUAGGCUUCUACUGACGCUGAGGCACGAAAGUGUGGGGAUCAAACAGG
Molecule: ribosomal RNA, 253 nt
Filed under: uncultured bacterium
Lineage: Bacteria
Description: partial 16S ribosomal RNA
Rfam family: Bacterial small subunit ribosomal RNA
Source: RNAcentral